GCCUGCCUCAUAGUAAAAUAACUGUUAGAAAACGGUAUGUGUUAGGUUACUACUGCUGAUUUUUCAAUUGUAUAAUUUUUGCGUUUUCUAGAGUUACAUCCUACUUUAUUUUAUUUUAUCCAAACUAAUUAUAGUUGCGUAUGCAAAAAAAUAAAUUCAUUGCUGGUUAAGAUUUAAUGAUUCCUCAUUAAUGGAAGAAAUUU
Ipomoea nil (Japanese morning glory) is the source of this 203-nucleotide long non-coding RNA. RefSeq lists it as uncharacterized. The record is from RefSeq and is a predicted model, not a curated record. NCBI's taxonomy places the organism in Eukaryota, Viridiplantae, Streptophyta, Magnoliopsida, Solanales, Convolvulaceae. The transcript has 3 exons.